UACAGAGGUCUCAAGCGUUGUCCGGAAUCAUUGGGCGUAAAGAGCGUGUAGGCGGCCCGGUAAGUCCGCUGUGAAAGUCCAGGGCUCAACCCUGGGAUGCCGGUGGAUACUGUCGGGCUCGAGUCCGGAAGAGGAGUGUGGAAUUCCUGGUGUAGCGGUGAAAUGCGCAGAUAUCAGGAGGAACACCAAUGGCGAAGGCAGCACUCUGGGACGUGACUGACGCUGAGACGCGAAAGCGUGGGGAGCAAACAGG
This 253-nucleotide ribosomal RNA is filed under the name uncultured bacterium. RNAcentral's name for it is "partial 16S ribosomal RNA". It matches the Rfam family "Bacterial small subunit ribosomal RNA", at positions 524 to 776 of the family's 1533-position model. The record is from RNAcentral.